AAAUUGUCAGAUAUAUUGAUUGAUAUGUUAAACCACUGCAAACGAUAAACGAAUGUGCAUCCAAAUCCCCUCCUUAACACAAGAAAAUAGGGUUGAUGUAAACUAUUGUAAUCAUAUAAAAUAUUUGGUAUCGGGUUGCCGUAAGCCACAACAUAGUUUUCUCGCAAUCGUGAUUAAUUAAUCCCAAAUGCUUAGACGGUAUAGUAAUGAGAAAGUAGUAUCUCUACCAAGGCAAUCUAAGCAUAUGUGUAUUUAAUUACCAUAUUGUAAUUGAAAGAAUCGUACUUGUAUGCCCUUUUUCAAAAAAAAAAAAAAAAAUCAUACCUGUAAUUUUUUUUGAAAUACUACUUGUAAGUUGUAACCCAUCU
This 368-nucleotide long non-coding RNA is filed under the name Brassica rapa (field mustard). RNAcentral describes it as "long non-coding RNA (BRAP_LNC002989)". The record is from RNAcentral. Lineage: Eukaryota; Viridiplantae; Streptophyta; Magnoliopsida; Brassicales; Brassicaceae.